Molecule: ribosomal RNA, 1369 nt
Filed under: uncultured bacterium
Lineage: Bacteria
Description: bacterial SSU rRNA
Rfam family: Bacterial small subunit ribosomal RNA
Source: RNAcentral
GACGAACGCUGGCGGCGUGCCUAAUACAUGCAAGUAGAACGCUGAAGAGAGGAGCUUGCUCUUCUUGGAUGAGUUGCGAACGGGUGAGUAACGCGUAGGUAACCUGCCUGGUAGCGGGGGAUAACUAUUGGAAACGAUAGCUAAUACCGCAUAAAAUUGAUUAUUGCAUGAUAAUUAAUUGAAAGAUGCAAUUGCAUCACUACCAGAUGGACCUGCGUUGUAUUAGCUAGUUGGUGAGGUAACGGCUCACCAAGGCGACGAUACAUAGCCGACCUGAGAGGGUGAUCGGCCACACUGGGACUGAGACACGGCCCAGACUCCUACGGGAGGCAGCAGUAGGGAAUCUUCGGCAAUGGGGGGAACCCUGACCGAGCAACGCCGCGUGAGUGAAGAAGGUUUUCGGAUCGUAAAGCUCUGUUGUAAGAGAAGAACGGGUGUGAGAGUGGAAAGUUCACACUGUGACGGUAUCUUACCAGAAAGGGACGGCUAACUACGUGCCAGCAGCCGCGGUAAUACGUAGGUCCCGAGCGUUGUCCGGAUUUAUUGGGCGUAAAGCGAGCGCAGGCGGUUAGAUAAGUCUGAAGUUAAAGGCUGUGGCUUAACCAUAGUAUGCUUUGGAAACUGUUUAACUUGAGUGCAGAAGGGGAGAGUGGAAUUCCAUGUGUAGCGGUGAAAUGCGUAGAUAUAUGGAGGAACACCGGUGGCGAAAGCGGCUCUCUGGUCUGUAACUGACGCUGAGGCUCGAAAGCGUGGGGAGCAAACAGGAUUAGAUACCCUGGUAGUCCACGCCGUAAACGAUGAGUGCUAGGUGUUAGGCCCUUUCCGGGGCUUAGUGCCGCAGCUAACGCAUUAAGCACUCCGCCUGGGGAGUACGACCGCAAGGUUGAAACUCAAAGGAAUUGACGGGGGCCCGCACAAGCGGUGGAGCAUGUGGUUUAAUCCGAAGCAACGCGAAGAACCUUACCAGGUCUUGACAUCCCUCUGACCGCUCUAGAGAUAGAGUUUUCCUUCGGGACAGAGGUGACAGGUGGCGCAUGGUUGUCGUCAGCUCGUGUCGUGAGAUGUUGGGUUAAGUCCCGCAACGAGCGCAACCCCUAUUGUUAGUUGCCAUCAUUCAGUUGGGCACUCUAGCGAGACUGCCGGUAAUAAACCGGAGGAAGGUGGGGAUGACGUCAAAUCAUCAUGCCCCUUAUGACCUGGGCUACACACGUGCUACAAUGGCUGGUACAACGAGUCGCAAGCCGGUGACGGCAAGCUAAUCUCUGAAAGCCAGUCUCAGUUCGGAUUGUAGGCUGCAACUCGCCUACAUGAAGUCGGAAUCGCUAGUAAUCGCGGAUCAGCACGCCGCGGUGAAUACGUUCCCGGGCCU